RNAcentral lists this ribosomal RNA (740 nucleotides) under uncultured bacterium. Its description in RNAcentral is "bacterial SSU rRNA". It matches the Rfam family "Bacterial small subunit ribosomal RNA", at positions 8 to 796 of the family's 1533-position model. The record is from RNAcentral.
AGAGUUUGAUCCUGGCUCAGAACGAACGCUGGCGGCAUGCCUAACACAUGCAAGUCGAACGCCCCGCAAGGGGAGUGGCGCACGGGUGAGUAACGCGUGGGAACCUGCCCUGGAGUUUGGGAUAACCCGGCGAAAGCCGGGCUAAUACCGGAUACGCCCCGAGGGGGAAAGAUUUAUCGCUCUAGGAGGGGCCCGCGUCGGAUUAGCUAGUUGGUGAGGUAACGGCUCACCAAGGCGACGAUCCGUAGCUGGUCUGAGAGGAUGAUCAGCCACACUGGGACUGAGACACGGCCCAGACUCCUACGGGAGGCAGCAGUGGGGAAUAUUGGACAAUGGGGGCAACCCUGAUCCAGCAAUGCCGCGUGAGUGAUGAAGGCCUUAGGGUUGUAAAGCUCUUUCGCCCGCGACGAUGAUGACGGUAGCGGGAGAAGAAGCCCCGGCUAACUUCGUGCCAGCAGCCGCGGUAAUACGAAGGGGGCGAGCGUUGUUCGGAAUUACUGGGCGUAAAGGGCGCGCAGGCGGCCCUUGAAGUCAGGCGUGAAAGCCCCGGGCUCAACCUGGGAAUUGCGCUUGAUACUCGAGGGCUUGAGUGCGGGAGAGGAGAGUGGAAUUCCCAGUGUAGAGGUGAAAUUCGUAGAUAUUGGGAAGAACACCGGUGGCGAAGGCGGCUCUCUGGACCGUAACUGACGCUGAGGCGCGAAAGCGUGGGGAGCAAACAGGAUUAGAUACCCCUGUAGUCC